This 443-nucleotide ribosomal RNA is filed under the name uncultured bacterium. Its description in RNAcentral is "partial 16S ribosomal RNA". It matches the Rfam family "Bacterial small subunit ribosomal RNA", at positions 338 to 795 of the family's 1533-position model. The record is from RNAcentral.
CCUACGGGCGGCAGCAGUGGGGAAUAUUGGACAAUGGAGGGAACUCUGAUCCAGCGACGCCGCGUGAGUGAAGAAGUACUUCGGUAUGUAAAGCUCUAUCAGCAGGGAAGAAAGAAAUGACGGUACCUGACUAAGAAGCCUCGGCUAACUACGUGCCAGCAGCCGCGGUAAUACGUAGGGGGCAAGCGUUAUCCGGAUUGACUGGGUGUAAAGGGAGCGUAGAUGGCGUUGCAAGUCAGGAGUGAAAGGCGGGGGCUCAACCCCCGAACUGCUUUGGAAACUGUAUGGCUGGAGUGCAGGAGAGGUAAGCGGAAUUCCUAGUGUAGCGGUGAAAUGCGUAGAUAUUAGGAGGAACACCAGUGGCGAAGGCGGCUUACUGGACUGUAACUGACGUUGAGGCUCGAAAGCGUGGGGAGCAAACAGGAUUAGAUACCCGUGUAGUC